GUACCCUUCACUACGGAAUAGCUUCUGGAAACGGAAGGUAAUACCGUAUACGCCCUCCGGGGGAAAGAUUUAUCGGUGAAGGAUCGGCCCGCGUUAGAUUAGUUUGUUGGUGGGGUAAUGGCCUACCAAGACUACGAUCUAUAGCUGGUCUGAGAGGAUGAUCAGCCACACUGGGACUGAGACACGGCCCAGACUCCUACGGGAGGCAGCAGUGGGGAAUCUUGCACAAUGGGCGAAAGCCUGAUGCAGCCAUGCCGCGUGAAUGAUGAAGGCCUUAGGGUUGUAAAAUUCUUUCGCCAGGGAUGAUAAUGACAGUACCUGGUAAAGAAGCCCCGGCUAACUUCGUGCCAGCAGCCGCGGUAAUACGAAGGGGGCUAGCGUUGUUCGGAAUUACUGGGCGUAAAGCGCGCGUAGGCGGGCUAUUAAGCCAGAUGUGAAAGCCCGGGGCUCAACCUCGGAAUUGCAUUUGGAACUGGUAGCCUAGAGACCAGGAGAGGUUAGCGGAAUACCGAGUGUAGAGGUGAAAUUCGUAGAUAUUCGGUGGAACACCAGUGGCGAAGGCGGCUAACUGGACUGGUACUGACGCUGAGGCGCGAAAGUGUGGGGAGCAAACAGGAUUAGAUACCCUGGUAGUCCACACCGUAAACGAUGAAUGCUAGUUGUCUGCGC
Molecule: ribosomal RNA, 669 nt
Filed under: Henriciella algicola
Lineage: Bacteria; Pseudomonadati; Pseudomonadota; Alphaproteobacteria; Hyphomonadales; Hyphomonadaceae
Description: bacterial SSU rRNA
Rfam family: Bacterial small subunit ribosomal RNA
Source: RNAcentral